GGGCGGGGGCCCCGGGUGGACACAUUCAAACUCUUGCGUAACUUUGCAGUCUGAGUAAAUUUAAUUAAUAAAUUAAAACUUUCAACAACGGAUCUCUUGGUUCUGGCAUCGAUGAAGAACGCAGCGAAAUGCGAUAAGUAAUGUGAAUUGCAGAAUUCAGUGAAUCAUCGAAUCUUUGAACGCACAUUGCGCCCCCUGGUAUUCCGGGGGGCAUGCCUGUUCGAGCGUCAUUUCACCACUCAAGCCUCGCUUGGUAUUGGGCGACGCGGUCCGCCGCGCGCCUCAAAUCGACCGGCUGGGUCUUUCGUCCCCUCAGCGUUGUGGAAACUAUUCGCUAAAGGGUGCCACGGGAGGUCACGCCGUAAAACAAGCCCAUUUCUAAGGUUGACCUCGGAUCAGGUAGGGAUACCCGCUGAACUUAAGCAUAUC
This 429-nucleotide ribosomal RNA is filed under the name Cladosporium sphaerospermum. RNAcentral describes it as "eukaryotic LSU rRNA". The stretch from base 77 to 230 matches the Rfam family "5.8S ribosomal RNA". Lineage: Eukaryota; Fungi; Ascomycota; Dothideomycetes; Cladosporiales; Cladosporiaceae. The record is from RNAcentral.